UCGGGAAUUUUGGGCAAUGGGGGAAACCCUGACCCAGCAACGCCGCGUGAAGGAUGAAGUAUUUCGGUAUGUAAACUUCGAAAGAAUAGGAAGAAUAAAUGACGGUACUAUUUAUAAGGUCCGGCUAACUACGUGCCAGCAGCCGCGGUAAUACGUAGGGACCAAGCGUUGCUCGGAUUUACUGGGCGUAAAGGGCGCGUAGGCGGCAUGACAAGUCACUUGUGAAAUCUCUGGGCUUAACCCAGAACGGCCAAGUGAUACUGUCGCGCUAGAGUGCAGAAGGGGCAAUCGGAAUUCUUGGUGUAGCGGUGAAAUGCGUAGAUAUCAAGAGGAACACCUGAGGUGAAGACGGGUUGCUGGGCUGACACUGACGCUGAGGCGCGAAAGCCAGGGGAGCAAACGGGAUUAGAUACCCCCGUAGUCCCUGAGCGGGCUGGCAAGGCGCAU
This 447-nucleotide ribosomal RNA is filed under the name uncultured bacterium. RNAcentral describes it as "bacterial SSU rRNA". It matches the Rfam family "Bacterial small subunit ribosomal RNA", at positions 355 to 825 of the family's 1533-position model. The record is from RNAcentral.